GCCACAAAGCUACUUUCAGAUUCAGAAAGGGUGGGGGGGCGGGGGAAGGGCUCUCUUUUAGAGUGGAUCAAGGCUUAAGAGAGGCACGGGGAGGGGAGCAAAGGCACCAAAACAGGGCUCUGGGCCCCGCUGCAGAGACCCGCGUCCGGGCUUUAGUGACCACCCAAACUCAGGGGGCUUCAACCUGUGUGUUUCCCGCCCUCCCCCGUGCAUCAACGAGAAGUGGACCUGGACAGGGGGUCUCAGACCAGUACCAGCCUAGGACCUUGGGAGACUCUGAAGGGAAGAGCGGCUCCAGGUCACCCCGUCCGAGCCUUCGGCGCCGUGCCAUGCUCAAGUUCCCUAUCGAUUGGCGUUCUCAGCGCUAUCGUGGCGGCAGAGAGACGGAGGGCGGGAAAUCGGGAAGCCGGAACCUGCAGCCCACCCUGGACCUGAGAGGGGGGCAGGCGUAAGAACAAUUCCCCCAUCUCGCAAUACAGUACACGCAUGCAUCGCCCUUCCUCCUAGCACACAUUACGACUGCGAAAGCCAUUACCGCCGGCGCGCGAGAGACUUUUUAAAUAUUUACAGCCCGCUCUCCGCACGGUAGCCUGAUCCAUCUUGUGGGCGCGGAGGCGGGGCGCGGGGCUCCGCUCCGGGGGAGGUGCGGAGUCGGGGCGGGGGUUCCAGUCGCCUUCCCCCGCGGCUCCGGGGUCCGCCCGGAGCUCCCCAUCUUGUUCCCCCCGCCAGGUGGGUAGUGGGCCGGAGACUGCGCGCAGCGCGCCCAGGGCCCUGUCGGGGCCUGAGCGGGCGGGGGUGGGGGUGGGGGGCAGCGUCCAGGAGGAGGGAAGGCCGGGAGGCUGAUUUAAAGGUUCUCACCGGGAAGCGAGAGAGGCACAGACCUGAGAGCCGCCGCGCGGUGAAAUCCGAGGAGCUCUCUUGGCGAGGAGGGGCUGUCAGAGGCCAUUUAUCUCUCGCCAGAGUGGAGGCUCGGCUCCCACACCGCCCGCGAGUAACAAUGGCAGCGAUCAGCAGCUCUGCACGCGCUUCAGUGCAUGAAUGGAUUGCGGAAGAUGCCUGCGCUCUUCUUCGCUCAGGCGGCUCUCGGAGCGCCCCCUCCCCGCCCGCCGCCCCCGCCCCGCCGGCCUCCUCCGGCCCGAGAGCGCGCGGUGCGCCUCGGGGUUCGCGAGUCCGGCCCCGCGGCUCGGUCACUCUUACCCGGAUCCCCCGCCGCCCUUCCCCCCUGCCGCGGCUCCCAGGGCUCUGGCACCUUGCCACCGAGUGUCAUUAGGGGCUGAAACUUGACACAAGCCUUCCCGACGCAGACACCCCCGCCAGCCCCCUCCCUCCUUCGCUCCCCUCGCGGCAAGUUUACUUUCAAGGAGUUGGACGGUGUUUCCGCCUCAAAGGCCGGCCGAGUGCUGGGAGGCCACCACCCUCAAUUGAAUUGACAUUCCAGCUUCCCCAUCGCAAAACCCCUACGGCAAAGCCCAUGCCCUGACUUUCCAACAACUGGGAAUCGAGUGGACUUCCCACAAGGAGGAACAGUGUCAUGUGAGAGGAGCUCCUCAGCCUCAAGUUCUCCGCUGCUCCCUUCCACUGCCUGCACAAUGGACCCAGCACGCCACUCCUACUGGGCCAGGAGAGCCUCUUACUCACUGAUCUCCCCUCCACUUCUCCCCACGCUGCCUGGGCAGCCCCGGGACAGAAGUCUCUGAGCUCACCUCUCCAACCUCGAAUGAAGCUGAGCGUUUUCUCCAGGCUGUUGACUCUGCGGCACGCUGGCUGUACACACACACACCACGAGUUGUUCUCGCCCUUCCUGGGGGCCUCCCUUCUCAUCUCCCUGCUGGGCGCCCUCGAAACCUGACUACUCAGCCUGAGUGCAGAGCCCUGGCAGAGUGGGGAGCCUGGAGGACCAAGGGGAGGUGGCCAAGGGAGAGAAGGAGAGGGCCCGUAAUGGAGGAGGGGCCCCGCAUGCCUGAGAGAAAAGAAGCCAGCCUGCAGCCACAGCCUGGAGGAGAGGGGGAGUAUAAAGGGAAAGCCAACACUAAUCCCUCAGCCUACCUACGUGGGGCCUGACAGUUUACAAAAGCCUUUUCCCUGAAUAUUAUCUCAUUCACUCCGGGCUAUAAGGAAGGUAGGGCAGAUAGCGUUACCCUCACUGACAGAGGAGAGAGAUGACGCCCAGAGAGGUUAAGAUAGGUCUGUACCAAGGUUGCAGAGCUAAGAGUGGUGGAGGAGCCCCCAGGCCUGGGGUUUCCUGCUCCCAAGUUCACGUUCCUGUUCAAUAGCUCUGUGUGUGUGAGUCUGGGUGACUAUCUGUGUGGAGGGGAAGGUGGGGGGUGGCUGGACAGGAAUGAGCAGUCCAGUGAGGGAAGUCCAGGAAGGAAGGACAUAGCCUCAUACCUCUUCCUCUACUCAGGUCUCAGCCAGCAGCCUCCUGCUCUUUCCGUAGCAGCCUGUGAGCCGGCCCCCAACUCGCCUGCCCAGGGGUGAGCUGUCUGUGGCUCCAGCAGUGGCUAUUCCAGAGGGCUUAUAUCUUUGGGAGGCCCCGCUCUGCUUGUCUGCUCGGCUCUCCUCUCUGCCUGUCAUCCCCACCCCCAGCCUCGGCUGCAGGAUGCCUUGCGUCCAACUGUGGUUUCCGGGCAAUAAAACAACUAUUAAAGUCUCAGGCACGGCUGGUGAUUUGCAUCACAUCCUCUCGUGCAUGGAUUCAAUAUUUAAUACACAAUAUUGAAUACGGAUAUUAAAAAUCAAUAGCUGAGGACCCCUGGGGAGGCGGCACAGUGCGAUCCUGCUUCAGAAACACAACCAGCU
Molecule: long non-coding RNA, 2799 nt
Organism: Bos taurus (domestic cattle)
Lineage: Eukaryota; Metazoa; Chordata; Mammalia; Artiodactyla; Bovidae
Source: Ensembl